UUGUCUCAAAGAUUAAGCCAUGCAUGUCUAAGUACAAACUAAAUUAAAGUGAAACCGCGAAAGGCUCAUUAAAUCAGUUAUGGUUCCUUAGAUCGUACCCACAUUUACUUGGAUAACUGUGGUAAUUCUAGAGCUAAUACAUGCAAACAGAACUCCGACCAGAAAUGGAAGGAGCGCUUUUAUUAGAUCAAAACCAAUCGGCACUGGCUUCGGCUGGUUGUCGUACGACUUGGUGAAUCUGAAUAACUUUGCUGAUCGCACGGUCUCGUACCGGCGACGCAUCUUUCAAAUGUCUGCCUUAUCAACUGUCGAUGGUAGGUUUUGCGCCUACCAUGGUUGUAACGGGUAACGGGGAAUCAGGGUUCGAUUCCGGAGAGGGAGCCUGAGAAACGGCUACCACAUCCAAGGAAGGCAGCAGGCGCGCAAAUUACCCACUCCCGGCACGGGGAGGUAGUGACGAAAAAUAACGAUACGGGACUCAUCCGAGGCCCCGUAAUCGGAAUGAGUACACUUUAAAUCCUUUAACGAGGAUCAAUUGGAGGGCAAGUCUGGUGCCAGCAGCCGCGGUAAUUCCAGCUCCAAUAGCGUAUAUUAAAGUUGUUGCGGUUAAAAAGCUCGUAGUUGAAUUUGUGUGUCGCGCCGCCGGUUCAUCGCUCGCGGUGUUAACUGGCGUGUUCGCGAUACGUCCUGCCGGUGGGCUUAGCCCGUAAAAAGGCGGCCCAAAUUGAAAAAAUCCUGCCACGGUGCUCUUCGCUGAGUGUCGAGGUGGGCCGGCACGUUUACUUUGAACAAAUUAGAGUGCUUAAAGCAGGCUAAAAUUUCGCCUGAAUAAUGUGUGCAUGGAAUAAUAGAAUAGGACCUCGGUUCUAUUUUGUUGGUUUUCGGAACACCGAGGUAAUGAUUAAUAGGGACAGAUGGGGGCAUUCGUAUUGCGACGUUAGAGGUGAAAUUCUUGGAUCGUCGCAAGACGGACAUAAGCGAAAGCAUUUGCCAAAAAUGUUUUCAUUAAUCAAGAACGAAAGUCAGAGGUUCGAAGGCGAUCAGAUACCGCCCUAGUUCUGACCAUAAACGAUGCCAGCUAGCGAUCCGUCGACGUUCCUCCGAUGACUCGACGGGCAGCUUCCGGGAAACCAAAGCUUUUGGGUUCCGGGGGAAGUAUGGUUGCAAAGCUGAAACUUAAAGGAAUUGACGGAAGGGCACCACCAGGAGUGGAGCCUGCGGCUUAAUUUGACUCAACACGGGAAACCUCACCAGGCCCGGACACCGGAAGGAUUGACAGAUUGAGAGCUCUUUCUUGAUUCGGUGGGUGGUGGUGCAUGGCCGUUCUUAGUUGGUGGAGCGAUUUGUCUGGUUAAUUCCGAUAACGAACGAGACUCUAGCCUGCUAAAUAGGCGUACAUCCGGCAUCUCGAAGGGCCGCCGGCCGUACGUAGUACCGUUUCGGCGGUGUCUGCCCGGUCGUGCGCGCUUUUUACUGCCGGCGUACAAACAAAUCUUCUUAGAGGGACAGGCGGCUUCUAGCCGCACGAGAUUGAGCAAUAACAGGUCUGUGAUGCCCUUAGAUGUUCUGGGCCGCACGCGCGCUACACUGAAGGAAUCAGCGUGUCUUCCCUGUCCGAGAGGACCGGGUAACCCGCUGAACCUCCUUCGU
RNAcentral lists this ribosomal RNA (1650 nucleotides) under Scirtoidea sp. UPOL RK0698. RNAcentral describes it as "SSU rRNA". It matches the Rfam family "Eukaryotic small subunit ribosomal RNA", at positions 32 to 1568 of the family's 1831-position model. The record is from RNAcentral. Lineage: Eukaryota; Metazoa; Arthropoda; Insecta; Coleoptera.